RNAcentral lists this ribosomal RNA (271 nucleotides) under uncultured prokaryote. Its description in RNAcentral is "partial 16S ribosomal RNA". It matches the Rfam family "Bacterial small subunit ribosomal RNA", at positions 524 to 794 of the family's 1533-position model. The record is from RNAcentral.
UACGGAGGAUCCGAGCGUUAUCCGGAUUUAUUGGGUUUAAAGGGUGCGCAGGCGGGAGAUUAAGUCGGCGGUGAAAUUUUGCAGCUCAACUGUAAAAGUGCCUUCGAAACUGGUUUCCUUGAGUGUGGAUGAAGUAGGCGGAAUUUGUGGUGUAGCGGUGAAAUGCAUAGAUAUCACGAGGAACUCCGAUCGCGUAGGCAGCUUACUAAACCACUACUGACGCUCAGGCACGAAGGCGUGGGGAUCAAACAGGAUUAGAUACCCUGGUAGU